RNAcentral lists this ribosomal RNA (253 nucleotides) under uncultured bacterium. Its description in RNAcentral is "partial 16S ribosomal RNA". It matches the Rfam family "Bacterial small subunit ribosomal RNA", at positions 524 to 776 of the family's 1533-position model. The record is from RNAcentral.
UACGUAGGGGGCAAGCGUUAUCCGGAAUUACUGGGUGUAAAGGGAGCGUAGACGGUAAUGUAAGUCUGGAGUGAAAGGCGGGGGCCCAACCCCCGGACUGCUCUGGAAACUAUGUUGCUAGAGUGCAGGAGAGGUAAGCGGAAUUCCUAGUGUAGCGGUGAAAUGCGUAGAUAUUAGGAGGAACACCAGUGGCGAAGGCGGCUUACUGGACUGUAACUGACGUUGAGGCUCGAAAGCGUGGGGAGCAAACAGG